UAUUUAAGACAAAAUUGUAUAGUUAAUUUUCAGCUGAGAUCUAUGUUUAGUGAUGCUGCUCUGCAUCUUCAUCCUCGGCGUUUCAAUGGAGGAGCAUUUGCUGCCAGGGUGGCUCCGAAGGUUGCUGCCAUACAAAUGAACAAACAUAACGAGCAAAGGUGAACAAACUAAGGCUGUCAACUGGUUACACAAGACAAAUGCACUGAGCUGUUUUACAAGUGGCUUGUUCAAGGAGUAUGCCAUACAUUUGUAAGAGGGAUUUCUACCUUUUUUACUCAAGGGCGACUAGGUUAUAGGAGUGUUGAUCAACAUUGUGGGUAGUGUUGGCGUGUUGCCAUAAAUUUUGGUACCAACCUUCUCAGAUUGGGUCAUGAUCAGACAACCAAUCUGGCCUGAAACUGGAAGCAAAAUCAGUAGAGAAAUCAGCCUGAAAAUACAACAGUCUACUUUCCUAGGAAGCUACAUCCAACCACUGCUUGUAUGCCUUUCAUAUACUCUCUGAGAUAUGUGACUUUCAAUAAUGAAGCGGGUAUGGGAUUUCUGUUGUUGAGGUUCAGCCUUCUUCUACAAAAAUGAAGUUCCAUGAUUAUUUGUGUUGUCCGCCGAAAGAAAAUAAAGUGCCAUGGUUUAUGCCCUCUCUCUCUGACUGAGAUCAACAAUGGUAGAAAGCAUUGGACUGUCUGUGUGUGUGUAUCUAUCUUCAUGUGCCCUUUAGUGGAACUUGGUAUUGCAGAUCAUUAAUAGGCCCAUUCGUUUAUUUAUGAAGGUAGUUUCACUGUUUAAAUUCCAGUAUAAAUGUUUAUUUCAAAGGUCUGUUUGCUGGUGUUCUAAUUUCUGCUUUGCUAGCACACUUCUAAUUUUCUUGCUGCAUCUUUGAUAGUGCCUCCAUUAUUAGAAAUUGGAGACGCAAUUGCUAAACUAUUUGGUGCUCCUGUAUCUAGACCGGCAGAAUAUGUUUUUCUUCAUAUAUUCUAUUCAUUUGUUUGAAUAAAUAGAAUAGAGAUUCUCCUAAAGACUGGUAGGGAAAAACACGAAGGAUCACCCCUAUAAUGGUAUGCAUCAGUAAUUGCCUUAGACCUGAAUGCUAUACUAUUUUAUUUACGAUGAACUUUGCGGGUGGUGUCUCAAGGGAGGCAUUGGUUGCAGGUUGCGGUCUAGAUUAAUAAUUCUCCAUCAUGAUGUUGCACCAUUCAACUGAUCAAAAGCAUGAUUCUUUUGUGAGAGGCAUUUUCUUAGUAUAACUUAGCAUAUAUGCCUGUCACAAGUUGACUUUAUGGAGCACCCUGUGUCACCCUUAUGCUUCUUAGCUAAUUUGUGUGCAGUCGUUGGAGGUACUUCCCUUGUGGCCAUUUUCUCAUAAACUGACUAGCUGUUUCUACUAAAUAGUAUCUUUCUGCUGAUAUGCUACUUGUACCAGUUAAACAUUUGAUGUUCAGAUUUUUUUUUUCCUUUGCAUUGAACAUGGGGGAGGGAUCGAUUUCCUGCUUGUGGCAGAAAAUAGUCCUCUUUUCAUAUGUUAAUUGGACUCCUCAAGCUUCAGCUGUACAGUUUAUAUUUGAAACUAUGUCUACUGAAUUGACAUCACUUUUCCAUUUGCUGCAAAAAUAAUCAUAUGAACUAUGCUUGAUACAAAAACAAUGUUAGUCUGGAGAUAGUUGGGAUUAUAAAAUAACUUAGUUUAUUUACUUUUCUAUAGCUGUAUUGCUAAAGUUUUUUUUUGUAAAAUGACUUAUUUACUAUUUCCCUCUCAAACUUUUACCUGCGUAGUUUUAUCUCCACCCAUCUAGCUUUUAGAAUGCAAACAGGUAACAAUGGAAGAAGCAGCUGUAACGCAUGGUAUAGAUGUUAAUUUGACAUGUGACUAUGUAACUUGGAUCCUUAUAUGGCUAAAGAACCGAACUAUAGAACUGAACUAUUCUUGCCUUGCUGUUUUUUUUGUGUGUUCCUGCAGCUUGUAUUAUAAGCAUGUUUUCCUAAUAUCUACGCUUCCACUGCUAACAUUUUUUUGAAGAUGUACUUGAUCAUUUGAUUGCUAAGUUGUGAAUGUUUAUCCAUGUUUUACUCAGUUGGAGAAACCUGCAGAUCCUAUCGACAAGGAGGAUGCGGAGACAAGCACACAAGAGGGGUACUCUGCUGGUGACGGAACGCUCGAGAACGCGGACUCGAAGAUGCUCGAGAACGUUGACUUGAGCCUUGGCUUCUCAAGUGGAAGUACGUAGUUGUGGCAUUUCUAGCCGUGUUGGCUGCUGUCCUCCUAUAUACUUGCUACUUGAUGUCUAUAUAUGUUAUCUCAUAACCAUGUCUUAGUACCUACGAGUAAUAUAUUUUCCUACUUGACACUUAUAAU
Molecule: long non-coding RNA, 2347 nt
Organism: Lolium perenne
Lineage: Eukaryota; Viridiplantae; Streptophyta; Magnoliopsida; Poales; Poaceae
Source: RefSeq, a predicted model, not a curated record